Molecule: long non-coding RNA, 14195 nt
Filed under: Triticum aestivum (bread wheat)
Lineage: Eukaryota; Viridiplantae; Streptophyta; Magnoliopsida; Poales; Poaceae
Description: long non-coding RNA (TAES_LNC013911)
Source: RNAcentral
CCGCCACAAAUCCUGAAGACGCGACCGAUCGCGAUGAAGGGACCGGCCAAGGGGACCAGGCAGCUGGACAACCCAAAAGGCAACGCAAGCGUAGGCGCCGAAACAUGCUUGGCACCAAUAGGAUUGUUAUCAACCGAGUGUCUGAGGUGGGUCUACCUGUUAGGCCUCAUUCGGUUUGGAGGAUUUUUAUAGGAAAAACAUGGGAACAAGGAUUCCAGAGGAAAAUUUCCUAUAUAUGCAUUCGGUUUGUAGGAAAUGCGUAAAGGAAUUUCAUAGGAAUACUAUUCAUUUCCUAUGCUUUUGGAGGAAACUACACAUCCACUCAAAGCUCAUUUUGUGCGUAGGAACGAGGCAAGUCAAUUCCUUAGGGUGGCAAGUGCCAUCCUAUCAAAUUCCUAUGCUACUCCAAAUUCCUACGUUUAGAUUUCCUCCAAACCGAAUGAGCCCUUAGUCCCAAGAAGGCCGAACAAGGUUACAGGAAUGCCCUAGGCUGCAUCCUUCGCGAAACCGUGAGCAUUAACGAAACCAAUCUCAGGUCGAAAGCGAACUAGAAUUUGCGAGCGCUCCUCAUAUCGAAGCUGCACACUCAUUACAAGUUCCCGGAUGAGUCCCUAGACGAGACCACUCCGGUAAAUAACACAGCCCUCUGCAAGUGGACCAAGCUUUUGAGUACAUGGAAAUCCAAAGCCAAAAGCGAAUACCUUGAGAAAGAUUACGAAACCGAGAUAAAAAAGAAGUGGCCUUCGGUUUCUGAGGAGGACUGGAACCUGUUCAAGCAGCACUGCGAGACCCCUGAAGUCAAGGAGAUGGAAAAAUGGGGGAAGGAAAUGCGGGCAAGGAACAUUGGUCACCACACCCUUGGAAGCCGUGGUUACCUAGGGAAGAAGCCGAAGUGGGACAAGCAGGACGCUGAGUUUGCUGCAGCAGGCAACUAUCCUGUCAUGGUGCCAGAGACGAGGAGUAGGAGGGUCCACGCAUCGGAGACCGUGUUGUCCUCGGCGCAGUGCCCUCGACUCACGCGCGCUGGAAGCAGGGUGGAUGUGCCGACCAGUGGCCGCUCCGGUAAGUACAAGACUCUCUAGUUCCACAUCGGUAGUUAACCGUCGAGUAGAUAGUUCUUCGAAUAAAGGCAUGAAUAACCCAAGAGCAAUCCAAUCCCAUAAAAGGGGCAUUUUUAUACAUGGUUGGAAAUUCUCAUGCGUAUAGUAAUGUACCGAAGAGGUAUUGAGGUCUUGACACACGAACACGUCACGUAUACCCUCGACGCCGGGGGUGAUGCACCACAGCUCACGUCGAAGGAGACCCGACCGACAGCGCGAUACGCAAGACAGUCGACGGGCGCUUUUGCAGACCCGAAAACCCCACACCCCUGGGAGGGACCCCGUCAGGGAGUGCGGCGGCUAUGGGUUGCCGUAGGUCGAUUCGCUCGCCCCUAGAGCCUCGGGAUUCGCAGCUCUCAAACACGAAGAACAACAAAUAACGAGAUAGAAAAACGGUGGAGAGAUAAAACGUAGAUGAAAAAGUAGUAUAUUGAUUUGUUCGAUUGUGUGUUGUUCAAUCGGCCAUCACCCCCAACAUAUAUAAGAGGCGGCUGGACUUUCCGUACAAGUAAAGGAUUCAUCUAGGCUUUUCUUACAAGAAAAAAUUAUAUCAAUUCACGUCCUAGAGUCCUAAUUAUAUUCCAACUCGGAUUAAGUCUGAAUCUGGCCCAAACUCUGUCUUCCUUCUUGUGCGGGCCACCGGGCUUGCAUAUGAUCUCCGAUCAAGACGGCCCACAUAUCAAACUCGUGUGCCUCGACGAUACGAACAACUCUCAUGUUGAUCACUUCUUCAAAUAAGGCCAUCUUGAAUACUUUUCGAGGUCAUCUUUAUCUUCCAGUCGGACUUGGUCUUGCGGUAGACUGGAUUAUCCGAGUCUCAUAGUGAAUUUGUAGGCCAUAUACUAUCUCUGAUGAUGACGACUCCAAAAUCAAAGUUUACCAUCUUGAUGAUACGCACAACUUCUGUAUUGAACACUUCUUCAUCCGAGGUCAUCUUGAUAAACUUUCAGGCAUAUGUUCAAUUUCACUCGGAUCCGAGCUCAUCCACUCGGAGUCAUUCACUUGGAUCGUCUGACUGGACUUUUCACUCGGAUGUUUAGAGUUUUUCACUCGGAAUACAAUUUUCACUCGGAAUAUUUUCACCUGGAGGACAAUGUCACUCAGAUGACCAUAAUUCCACUCGGAUGACUAUAUUUUCACUCGACCGUAAACUUUCACUCGGACGGUAAACUUUUUACUCGGAAUAUUUUCACCUGGAGGACAAUGUCACUCGGAUGACCAUAUUUCCACUCGGAUGACUAUAUUUUCACUCGACCGUAAACUUUCACUCGGACGGUAAACUUUUCACUCGGAUUUUCCAGCUGAAAACAUAGCUUGAUCUUGAUUUGUCUCUCCAGGCCUCAUACGACCUCGGAUUGAGAUGAAUUAUAUACGAAAAUCGAUCGGCUCGAUGAGACGAAACUUUUCCGUGUUGAAGGUUUUUCAAUUCAAGGCCGUCUUGAAGGCCGAAUUGCUCACGCAUUGCAUCAGACAUUCAUCAACAUGUGUCUGGUGUCAAGCGUAAUAUUUUGGUCUCUGGCCUGUCCAGACCGUAUUGACUAUAACUUUUGCAUAUGACCUCGGAUUGAGACAAAUUAUAUAUGAAAAUUGAUCGUAUCGACGAGACGAAGACAAUUCAUUUAGAGCACUCCUUCAUCUAAGGUCAUAUUGAGGACGUAAUCGGCCGAAAAACACUCAAAACAUUAAAUUUUGUCACUCGGAGUACAGCUUCGGCCACUGAGAUGAGGUCGAAUGGCGAUAGCCUAAACAUCAAAGUCGUUCCACUCGACGAUAUGAAACUUUCUCAUGCUGAAAACCCUUUCACUCUGUAUCAUGCCAAAAUCAGGUGUCAACACAUGCCCCCCUGUUUUUCGGCAAAGCUUGCAUGCCGAAAAAUAAUAUGCAUGGUGUUCGUUCUAAGGACGAUGUCAACACUCCAUCGGCCAUUUAUUUUUCUCAGGGCGAUAAUUAUGUAUCGGCCAUGUUUGUGCUAAGGGCGAUAAUUGUAUAUCGGCCAUUGCCUACUUAGGCUUCCUGCCACACACUCGGGUGGUAUUUCUUCAAAUAUUUGCCAUUGAGAGCUCGAGGUAACAAUGCCCCCUGUUUUGAUUCCACCAAAUAUGAAUUUCCGGGAACAACUCUUGUAAUCCUAAAAGGACCUUCCCAACUUGGAGACCACUUCCCGAAUUUUCUAUCUCUUGAACCAAUCGGCAAAAUCACUUUCCAGACGAGAUCACCAACUUGAAAAUUCUUCAACUUGACUUUCUUAUUGUAAGCUCUUGCCACCCUCAACUUAUCUCUCUCUAUGGCCUUUAAAGCAACCAAACGUUUAUCGGCAACCUCAUCAAUAUUGUCCAUCAUUAAGUUAUAAAAGUCUACUGCCGAUAAAUCAUUUUGUUUGGCUAUUCUCAAAGCAUUCAAAUUUACCUCCACUGGUAAAACAGCCUCUUGACCAUAUACUAGCUCAUAUGGAGUCACCUUCGUAGCACCAUGCCUUGAAAUUCUAUGUGCCCAUAAAGCUUCAGACAACAACUCAUGCCAUUUCCUUGGAUUAUCCUCAAUCUUCCUCUUGAUGAGUUUGAUUAAAAUUUUAUUGCUAGACUCGGCUUGUCCAUUAGCUUGGGCAUAAUACGGAGAGGAAUUGAGCAAAUUUAUAUUAUAAGAUUCGGCAAACUCUCUUACUUGGUGUGACAUAAAAGAUGAACCUUGAUUUGUAGUUAACGUUUGAGGAAUACCGAAUCUAUGAAUAAUGUGCUCGGUUAUGAAUUGAAUUACCUCCGUAUGUGUCAUGUUCUUGAGAGGUACUGCUUCAGACCAUUUAGUGAAAUAAUCAGUUGCCACCAACACGAACCGAUGCCCCUUUGAGGAAGAUGGAUGAAUUUGCCCAAUAAAGUCUAAACCCCAUCCUCUGAAAGGCCACGGCUUGAUAAUAGGAUGCAACAUAGCAGCAGGAGUCAAUUGAAUAUCACCAAAUUUUUGACAAGCUUCGCACCCUUUAUAAUAUCUGAAGCAAUCGUUAAUCAUGGUCGGCCAAUAAAACCCAGCACAUCGUAAUAACCAUUUCAUCUUGGGAGACGACUGGUGAGUACCACAAAUGCCCUCAUGUACCUCUCCCAUAGCAACUCUUGCUUGGUCCUCAUCCAAGCACUUUAAAAGAACAUCAUCAACUGUUCGGCGAUAAAGGUCACCAUCCCUCAUAGUAUAUUUGAAAGCCAUACGCCGAACAGCCCUGUCCACCCUUUCACUCGGAUUGCGCAAGUAAGCAACAAUAGGCUUCCUCCAGUCGGAAUUGUCAUCUGCACUAGAUUUUUUGUUAAUGACCGAAUCAGUGGGUUCUGGUUCGGCCUCUUCUAUACUGGUAAGACAAGACAUCGGACUUUGAGAAAUAUGAAACAUGCCAUGAUCAACAUGAUAUCCAGAUGCUUGCUGUGCCAACUCAUUUGCUUUCCAAUUGUCAUGUCUAGAUAUAUGUGCAAUGCUAAAACAAUCCAAAGUAGAAAUUAUAUCUAGACAUCUAUCAAGAUAAACAUUAAGUGAUUCGUCCAAACACUGAAAGACAUUAGAUAUUUGCUGCACUACUAGUAACGAAUCACCGUAAGCCUCAAUAUGCGUAACACCUAUAGCAAGUAACAUCUCUAGGCCGAAUAACAAUGCUUCAUAUUCGGCUUGAUUGUUUGUGCAAAAAUAUUCUAAGCGGCAUGAGGCUUCAAAAAUAGCACCAUGAGGAGAUAUAUAAACAAUACCAACACCUUGGCCAUUGCUACAAACUGAACCAUCAAAGUAUAAUCUCCAUGGCACUAAUGAAACAAGGUUCAUAUCAUCAUCAUUCUUGUCAUUAAUCCGAUGCUCAACAAUGAAAUUAGCAACAAUUUGGCCUUUCAUGGAUUUUAGAGAUUCAUAAGCCAAAUCAUAUUCAAUCAAAGCAUAAGCCCACUUGCCAAUUCUACCACUAAGAAUUGGCCUAUGCAACAUGUAUUUAAUGACAUCGGUUUGACAAGCUACUACACAAGCACUUGGCACUAAAUAAUGUCUCAGUUUUGUACAAGCAUAAUAUAAGCAUAGACAUAAUUUCUCAAUAAAUGUAUACCUUGUCUCUGCGUCCAAUAAGCGGCGGCUCAAAUAAGUGAUGGCAUGCUCUUUUCCUUCGGUCUCUUGAGUUAGAACAGCACCAAUAACUCCUUCCUCUACUGCAAUGUAAAGUCUGAAGGGUUCCCUAUGCUUGGGUGCUCUCAUCACCGGAGGAGUGCACAAAUAAUUCUUGAUCAUAUCAAAUGCUUCUUGCUGUUUUGCCCCCCAAGUGAAAUUAGUAUCAUUCUUUAACCGAAGGAUAGGAGUAAAUGCAUCAACUUUCCCUGACAGAUUAGCUAUGAACCUUCUCAAAUAAUUGACCUUGCCAAGGAACUUUUGCAUAUCUCUCUUGCAUGUUGGAGCCUCCACUUUCUGUAUAGCCUCUAUCUUUUUGGGAUCAAUCUCUAUGCCAUCUUCAUGAAUAAUGAAACCCAAAAACUUGCCAGCUGACACGCCAAAAGCACACUUCAAAGGAUUCAUCUUCAGUCCAUACGUUUUCAUUCUUUCAAAAGCUAAACGCAAAUCGGCCAAGUGAGAUUCAAAAGCAUCCGAUUUGACAACAAUAUCAUCAAUAUAAACUUCAAGUAUGAUACCGAGUAAAUCAUAAAAAAUCAAAUUCAUAGCCCUUUGAUAUGUGGCUCCAGCAUUUUUUAAUCCGAAUGUCAUCACUGUCCACUCGAAUAAACCAAGGAAACCAGGGCAUCGAAAAGCAGUCUUGUACAUGUCCUCUUCGGCCAUAAAAAUUUGAUUGUAUCCGGCAUUACCAUCUAGAAAGCUAAUAACCUUAUGCCCAGAAGCAUCAUUAAUAAGCAUAUCGGCUAUUGGCAUAGGAUACUCAUCUUUGGGUGUAGCCCUAUUCAAAUCUCUGAAAUCAAUGCACACUCUCAACUUGCCGGAUCCUUUCUUCUCCACUGGGACAAUGUUAGAAAUCCACUCGGCGUACCUGCAAGGUCGAAUGAAAUUAGCUUCAAGCAAUCGACCGAUCUCUUCCUUGAUCCGGUCAUAUGUUUUUGGAUUAAAUUUUCUGGCCGAUUGUUUAUAAGGUCUAAAACCGGCCUUUAUAGACAACCGAUGCUCCACUAGCUCUCGGCUUAACCCUGGCAUCUCAUGAUAUUCCCAUGCAAAGCAACAAACAUAUUCUUUCAGUAGCUCGAUUAACUUAGCCUUACAAUCGGCUUUUAAAUUUUUGUUUAUAAAUGUCGGUCGAGUGACUGAACCAUUUCCAAUAUUUACUUCUUCUAACGGAUCGGCUGAUGUAAAACCUUGUCCAAGUUUAUCCAUGUCAUCCAACUCCUCUAUAGACUCAUACAUAUCGUUCUCAUUGGACCGAUACUUUACAAGACGUUUUUGUAACCACUCGGAAUUAGGAUCCAUUUAAACAUAUCAUACAUUGGAGCCGAUUGCAUUCACUCAGCUUUAAAGAGACAGGCACAAAACCAUUCUUGGUCGCGCUGAGAAAAUCAAAUUCUGAUAAGUCACGUCCCGUCAAGCAAGUAGCGUUGGGAUGUUGCCAAUCCACCGAUGCAUCGGCCAAAUCAACACAGGCCGAGUUAUCCGCGUGAAUAACUUCCACUUCAUCAUCAACCCACUAAAUCAAAAACUGGUGCAUAGUGGAUGGCACGCACUGGUUUGCAUGAACCCAAUCACGGCCUAGUAUGACGUUGUAGUUACUUUGCACCUCAGCGACAAAGAAUGCAGUAGCCAAAGUUUUGCUUCCGACUGUAAGCUCCACAUACAUCACACCUUUGGCUUCAGUUUUCUCUUUGCCUUCAAAUCCAUUGAGCACCAUAUUGGUCUUGAUCAAUUCUUCAUCAGGCAAACCCAAUCUCUUGAAUACCGAAUAGGGCAUAAGAUUUACCACAGCACCACCAUCAACAAGCAUCCGAGUGAGCGGCGAUCCAUUGAUAUGACCUCUAAGAUAUAAUGGUUUCAGAUGCGUUACUGGUUCUUGUGGCUUCUCGAAUAUUGCGUUUUUAGGGCCAAAAUCCAGCUGAGCCACCUCCCCUUCUUCAUCUACAGCACGAAACUCAGCAGGUAAGUAAUACACCAUAUUGAUAUCCAUACCUUCAUGAACCGGCGUAGACUCAUAGUCCAACAUAUCAGCCUCCUCUUCGAGUGCAUCCACCGAUUCUGAAAUUUGUCCGAGUGAAGGAGAAGUCAGAAGUGUCACAGACGAUGUGAUAUCUGUUGCAUCGUCCUCCUUUGGUGAUGUAGGUGUUGCUGUGAUAGAUGUAGAAGCUAUUGUAUCUUUUAUUUGUUUAGGCCUCCACACUUGUUUUGCUGGAACCAUGGGUCGAGUGUCAUUGAACAACUUAUCCCUUUGUUUCUCGGCCUCCUUUUCUGCCAUCUCUUGACUCCUUAACCUCUGUAGUUUCCUCUUUUGUGUCUUUGUUAGCCCUGGAGGACACCACUUUGGCUGAGUGUAUUUAGGAUCUCUCGUUUUUACCUGGCUGGUGCUUGCUUCAUGGUCAUUGGCCGAGUGCUUUGGCGCGAUAGCAAGUAUCGGCUCAGUCGGAUUGCUAUGCACAAUCGGCUGUUGUAUGGCGAAUGUUUCGGUGCCCAAGAUAAGUGAGUCGGCAUCCAUUUUCUCCUUGCCUUUUGCCGACUCAAUUGCUGCAACACUUGGUGAUUUAACACGCCAUUCUUUUCGACUUUCCAGAUGCAUGAAAUUUCCACUCGAGCGCACCUUUUUACUCGGAUGGAAUCCACUCGGAUGGAAUUCACUCGGAUGACUUCCACCUGGGUGCAUUCUUACACUCGGAUAAUUUCCACUCGGUCGCAUAUUUUGACCAGCCGACUGAUAGUCACCGAUGUUGAGUCGGCCAUUAUAUGAGUAGUCAAGUCGAUCCCAAACAGAUUGCGUAUACUCUCCUGGAAAUUGCGCCCUUGGUCCACUCGGUUUUGUAUACUGACUGAACAUAUCAGCUGAUGGUGACCUUGGUCGUUUCAGAUGAGUCGGUCGAUUGAAACUAGAACCGGCCGAGUGGUUAGCAUACUUGGACAACAACAUAUCAAAAGUUGGCUUGAUCUGCUUGCGUUGCACUUUAGCUUCAUUCUUCUUCCACUUGCCAACUUCCGGACUCUUGGGCUUGACAAAUUUAACACGAGCAUUUUCUUGCACUUGCGGUUGCCCCCCGAGUGUAGGGUUCUUGAUGGUGAUUUUGAUCACUUCCUUGCCAUCGGGUUGCUUAUCAAGCACAACUUGUCUCCCCAAGACCUUGUUGUCCUCCUUGUCUUUCCUGGGCUCACCAACAAUGACAUUAGCUUUAUUAGCAGAUUCGGCUACCUCCGGCCGAAUGAGUAGUUUCUUCCCCUCCAAACCCAUGGUAUUCAUUGGAAAAGGUUGUUUAUCAACUUGCAUCUCAGAAAAGUUCAAUCGUCCGUCAUUAAUGGCCGAUUGUAUCUGUCGUUGAAAAACAUUGCAAUCGUUAGUAGCAUGAGAAAAAGAAUUAUGAUACUUGCAAUAAGCACGCCGUUUUAGCUCUUCAAACGGCGGUAAAGUAUGAGAUAUUCUAAUAAUCUUAGCCUGCAACAGAGCAUCAAAUAUUCUAUCACACUUAGCAAUGUUAAAAGUAAACUUCAUAUCUUCAUCACGAUUCUUAUGAAUCGGUUUCAGAUCAUUGCAAGUAAAGGGUUUGGCUUUAGAUGGCCAAACAAAUUCAGUAGAAAAAACAUCACCCCCAUCAUCCGAGUGAUCACUGUCAUAUUCCACCAUAUUCAUCUUUGGACGAUCGGCUUUGUACCUAUGCACUUCUUUGAGGUCUUUGCUUCGGCUUUCCUGAGCCAAAGCCCUUUGUAAGACUUGGUUGAUAUUUAAGAACUCGUAGCCUUCUAGUUUUUCUCUAAUGGGAGUUCUCAAACCACUCAGCACUAGGUCUGCCAAGUCCCUCUCGGUUAUCACCAAACUAAAACACCGGUUUUUUGUUUCUCUGAAUCUCUUGACGUAAUCGGAGACCGAUUCAUCAUGCUUCUGUUUAACCGAUGUUAGAUGUGACAACUUGAGUUCAUUGUCGCCACUAUAAAAGUGAUCAUGAAACUUCUGCUCUAGCUGCGACCAAACCCGAAUGGAACCAUGGGGUAAAGAAGAAAACCAUGAAAAUGCGGUACCAGUUAAUGAUAAAGGAAAUAAACGCACUUUCAAUUCAUUCAAUGAGCCUGCCUCACCCAAUUGUGCUAAAUAUUGACUAACAUGCUCCCAUGUGGUUUUUGUGCCUUCUCCAUUAAAUUUAACAAAAUCUGGAAUUUUAUAUCCUGGAGGGCACUGGAUGGCAUCAAAGUACUCGGGGUACGGCUUUUGGUAAAUCCGAUUCCGAGGUAACUCAACUCCAAAAUUCUCUCGAAGCAUUUUAGCCAUCUCCUCUCUAAGAUUAGCUAGACCAUCAUCCAUAGUGGACGAUGAAGCUUGUGGCAGUGGCAUAGGAGGAGCAGGGUUACUAGCUGUAGGUAGGAAUUGUGGCAUGUACGUCGACCCAUAAUUUGGUAAUGGUCGAGUGGAUGUAGCUGUAGGUAGGGUUUGGUUCGGCGUUGCCACCGAACCUGGCAUACUCAUAAUAGGAUUAAUGGGUGCAACCACAAUCUGAUUUGUUUGGGUAGGAUAAUAAGUCAUCGGCACGGGAGGCGCCGAUGAGAUGGGCAAAGACAGAUUAGGGUUUUGCACACUAGCAGCUACACCACCAUUACCACUAGACGAUUGAGAUAUAUUCUUCUGAGCAUUAGUAUUUUCUAUGAAAGUUUGAUAGACUAGAUUGUUACCAUCAGCAAUACGACUUUCAAUCUCAGCCCACUGCUUAGGAGAAAAGGCAGUACUUACAGAAGGUUUAACCUGUUCAGUUUGAAGAGGAGGGAACUUGAUUUCUUCAAUCGGAGUGAUGUUGCCUUGGCGAUCUUUCUUGAAUUUUGCAAGGAACUCCUGCAGGUCCUUCUCCUCGCGUGCCUUCUUUUACUCCUCAUAAACUUGGCGAUGAUCGGCCGAUAUCUCAUCAAGACUGGGCUUAAUGAUGUUAUCGGCGUCUACCUCAGAUGGCUUGGGAAUAUCAGACAUGGUGGAUGAUGACGAUUGAUCUUCGUUCCCCAGCGGAGUCGCCAAAAAGUGUGUUGACACACGAACACGUCACGUGUACCCUCGACGCCGGGGGUGAUGCACCGUAGCUCACGUCGAAGGAGACCCGACCGACAGCACGAUACGCAAGACAGUUGACGGGCGCUUUUGCAGACCCGAAAACCCCACACCCCCGGGAGGGACCCCGUCAGGGAGUGCGGCGGCUAUGGGUUGCCCUAGGUCGAUUCGCUCGCCCCUAGAGCCUCGGGAUUCGCAGCUCUCAAACACGAAGAACAGCGAAGAACGAGAUAGAAAAACGGUGGAGAGAUAAAACGUAGAUGAAAAAGUAGUAUAUUGAUUUGUUCGAUUGUGUGUUGUUCAAUCGGCCAUUACCCCCAACAUAUAUAAGAGGCGGCUGGACUUCCCGUACAAGUAAAGGAUUCAUCUAGGCUUUCCUUAUAAGAAAAAAUUACAUCAAUUCACGUCCUAGAGUCCUAAUUAUAUUCCAACUCGGAUUAAGUCUGAAUCUGGCCCAAACUCUGUCUUCCUUCUUGCGCGGGCCACCGGGCUUGCAUAUGAUCUCCGAUCAAGAUGGCCCAAAUAUCAAACUCGUGUGCCUCGACGAUACGAACAACUCUCAUGUUGAUCACUUCUUCAAAUAAGGCCAUCUUGAAUACUUUUCGAGGUCAUCUUUAUCUUCCAGUCGGACUUUGUCUUGCGGUAGACUGGAUUAUCCGAGUCUCGUAGUGAAUUUGUAGGGCAUAUACUAUCUCUGAUGAUGACGACUCCAAAAUCAAAGUUUACCAUCUUGAUGAUACGCACAACUUCUGUAUUUAACACUUCUUCAUCCGAGGUCAUCUUGAUAAACUUUCAGGCAUAUGUUCAAUUUCACUCGGAUCCGAGCUCAUCCACUCGGAGUCAUUCACUUGGAUCAUCUGACUGGACUUUUCACUCGGAUGUUUAGAGUUUUUCACUCGGAAUAUAAUUUUCACUCGGAAUAUUUUCACCUGAAGGACAAUGUCACUUGGAUGACCAUAAUUCCACUGGGAUGACUAUAUUUUCACUCGACCGUAAACUUUCACUCGGACGGUAAACUUUUUACUCGGAAUAUUUUCACCUGGAGGACAAUGUCACUCGGAUGACCAUAUUUCCACUUGGAUGACUAUAUUUUCACUCGACCGUAAACUUUCACUCGGACGGUAAACUCUUCACUCGGAUUUUCCAACUGAAAACAUAGCUUGAUCUUGAUUUGUCUCUCCAGGCCUCAUACGACCUCGGAUUGAGAUGAAUUAUAUACGAAAAUCAAUCGGCUCGACGAGACGAAACUUUUCCGUGUUGAAGGUUUUUCAAUUGAAGGCCGUCUUGAAGGCCGAAUUGCUCACGCAUUGCAUCAGACAUUCAUCAACAUGUGUCUGGUGUCAAGCGUAAUAUUUUGGUCUCUGGCCUGUCCAGACCGUAUUGACUAUAACUUUUGCAUAUGACCUCGGAUUGAGACAAAUUAUAUAUGAAAAUCGAUCGUCUCGACGAGACGAAGACAAUUCCUUUAGAGCACUCCUUCAUCUAAGGUCAUAUUGAGGACGUAAUCGGCUGAAAAACACUCGGAACAUUAAAUUUUGUCACUCGGAAUACAGCUUCGGCCACUGAGAUGAGGUUGAAUGGCGAUAGCCUAAACAUCAAAGUCGUUCCACUCGACGAUAUGAAACUUUCUCAUGCUGAAAACCCUUUCACUCUGUAUCAUGCCAAAAGUCAGGUGUCAACAUGAGGAAGCUACGUAUUCUCUGGCAGUGUGGUUAGUGGUGCUUAUAGCAUCAAGGAGGGGUCCUAUGUAUGAAUAUGUAUUGGUAUUUAUAUCAUUAAGUCAAGCCCUUGUGUCACACAGAAUUUGCUGGGCACGCAAGGUCGGCUGGUCUGUGCUUUUUGUAAGUGAUGGUGCUCCCGAGUCAGUUGAAAACGUGGACUCUAGAUUUUCUUUAAGCUAACAAAUUUUCAUGAUCUAUAUUCAGAAGUAUAUGUUCUACUGAAAUGCCCAAUUGAUGGUGUUUCUACAGGUCAGGUUAAUGAGGAUGUCGAGAGCAGAUUCCAGCAUUUGGCAAGUUCAGUACACAAUGAUGUUAUGCAGUUAAAGGCAGCGAACGGAGAGGACGAGGGAGGCGUGCACAUCCAAGACCUUGUUGUCGUCGUUCCGCGAAUGACGAGGAGGAGGGCGAGGGAGGCAUGCGCGUUGGAGACUGCGUUGCCGUCGUUGCAGCGCACUCAACUCACACGCGGUGGAAGCAGGGGGGAGGCCCCGACCAAUGGCCGCUCCGGUAAGUGGAAGACUGUACUACCACUGUAAAUAAAUCUUUUUAGUCCCGCAUUGCAUCGGUAGUAGUAAUCACCAAAUAGAUUACCUAGAGACCUGUAGCUGUACACUGGUAGAGGUGUAGGCAUAGAUGUCUAGGGUUACAGGGUGACAAAAAACCAACUCACAUGGAGGCGUCACUAGAUUGUAAGUCCCCCCCUAAUUCGUACUUUUGGUGAAAAGGGCUAUCAUAACUGCUGCUAGUUAUUUCCUCAGGAGUUAUCCAGAAAAUCUCUUGCAAUGAGAUUAUCUAGUUCAUGAUUAGGUCCCACUACUUGAAGCUGUAGAUAAAUCUUCAACUAAAGAUAUGGACAUGACAAGUCUUAGUAGCCUACUGAAACUAGAUGGAAUAACAUCCUUAUAGCCCAAAGCCCAACUGAUUGCUAUCUGUCCCAGCUGUGACACCUGCAGAGCAUUAUAUGGUUAAGCCAUUGAUAACCCAAGAAGAAUCGAAUCCCAUAAGGCCUUGUACAAUGCUAGGUGCUUAGGGAGGUGCUUAGAAAAAUAGACCGGGUUUUUUCGAAGCACCAGUGCCUCUUUCUACAGGAGAGACGCCUAAUUAAGUGUCUACCCUCUAUAAAUAAGCACCAGUGCUUAAAAAAAGACUGGUUUAUUUCUCUAAGCACCUCCCCUAAGCGUCUUGCAUUGUACAAGGUCUAACAGGGGGAUUUUUAAUUCUAGUUCCUAGCAAAUAUUUAGUUCAUAGAAUCUUUCAGUAAUUAUAGAUUUUAUAGAUAUUUUUAGUAAUUCUAUAGCAUUUUUAUAUGUAGUUACAUUUUGUGUAGCUUAAUUCUUUUAUUUGACAAUUUACAGAUAUGUCUGGAAACGACUCCGCUGCAGCCUCUUCUUCGCGGACGAUAAGCGCGGGCGAUGAAGCUGUAGAACCGUCAUCACGUCAUGGUGGCCCAGACGCCUUGGGCACAUACACAGAUGGGCAGGACGACUACACAUCCACUGUUCAUGAUGAGUCCUGCACCGCCGCAAAUCCUGAAGAUGCGACCGAUCGCGACGAAGGGACCGGCCAAGGGGACCAGGCAGCUGGACAACCUAAAAAGCAACGGAAACCUAGGCGCCCAAACAUGCUUAGCACCGAUAGGAUUGUCAUCAACCGAGUGUCUGAGGCGGGUCUACCUCUUAGUCCCAAGAAGGCCGAACAAGGUUACAGUAAUGGCCUAGGCUGCAUCCUUCGCGAAACCGUGAGCAUUAACGAAACCAAUCUCAGGUCGAAAGCCAACGAGAAUUUGCGAGCACUCCUCAUAUCGAAGCUGCACACUCAUUACAAGUUCCCGGAUGAGUCCCUAGACGAGACCACUCCGGUAAAUAACACAGCCCUCUGCAAGUGGACCAAGCUUUUGAGUACAUGGAAAUCCAAAGCCAAAAGCGAAUACCUUGAGAAAGAUUACGAAACCGAGAUAAAAAAGAAGUGGCCUUCGGUUUCUGAGGAGGACUGGAACCUGUUCAAGCAGCACUGCGAGACCCCUGAAGUCAAGGAGAUGGAAAAAUGGGGGAAGGAAAUGCGGGCAAGGAACAUUGGUCACCACACCCUUGGAAGCCGUGGUUACCUAGGGAAGAAGCCGAAGUGGGACAAGCAGGACGCUGAGUUUGCUGCAGCAGGCAUAUCAAACCCCUUCAAGGAAUUUGAAAACCCACGUGAAAAUGAUUACAUCAG